GGAAGAGUGGCAGAGCGGUUGAAUGCACUGGUCUUGAAAACCAGCAUACCUUCGCGGGUAUCGUGGGUUCGAAUCCCACCUCUUCCGCCA
Molecule: transfer RNA, 90 nt
Filed under: SAR86 cluster bacterium SAR86B
Lineage: Bacteria; Pseudomonadati; Pseudomonadota; Gammaproteobacteria
Also listed under: 1 other name
Description: tRNA-Ser
Rfam family: tRNA
About the family: Transfer RNA (tRNA) molecules are approximately 80 nucleotides in length. Their secondary structure includes four short double-helical elements and three loops (D, anti-codon, and T loops).
Source: RNAcentral